Molecule: ribosomal RNA, 492 nt
Filed under: uncultured bacterium
Lineage: Bacteria
Description: partial 16S ribosomal RNA
Rfam family: Bacterial small subunit ribosomal RNA
Source: RNAcentral
AUUGAACGCUGGCGGCAUGCUUUACACAUGCAAGUCGAACGGUAACAGGCCUUCGGGUGCUGCCGAGUGGCGCACGGGUGCGUAAUGCAUCGGAACGUACCCAGAGGUGGGGGAUAACGCAGCGAAAGCUGUGCUAAUACCGCAUGUGAUCUGAGGAUGAAAGCGGGGGACCGAGCAGCAAUGUUUGGCCUCGCGCCUUUGGAGCGGCCGAUGUCGGAUUAGCUAGUUGGUGGGGUAAAGGCCUACCAAGGCGACGAUCCGUAGCUGGUCUGAGAGGACGACCAGCAACAGUGGGACUGAGACACGGCCCAGACUCCUACGGGAGGCAGCAGUGGGGAAUGUGGGACAAUGGGCGCAAGCCUGAUCCAGCAAGGCCGCGUGCGGGAAGAAGGCCUUCGGGUUGUAAACCGCUUUUGGCAGGAACGAAACGGUGUCCGCUAAUACCGGGCGCUAAUGACGGUACCUGCAGAAUAAGCACCGGCUAACUACGUG